CUGCAGCCAAUUAAGCCGACUGUGCUCUUGUCUCUGGCGGCCCAGUGUGCCAUGGCUGCAAACAGUAGCCUCCUCGGUAGUGUAUGCAGCCUGUUGAUUGUAUGGGUUUCCCUAAGGGACCUUGGAGACAGCC
Molecule: small nucleolar RNA, 133 nt
Filed under: Neogale vison (American mink)
Lineage: Eukaryota; Metazoa; Chordata; Mammalia; Carnivora; Mustelidae
Description: Neovison vison (American mink) Small nucleolar RNA SNORA70 (ENSNVIG00000008496.1)
Rfam family: Small nucleolar RNA SNORA70
About the family: snoRNA U70 seems to be exclusive to mammals and is a member of the H/ACA class of snoRNA which contain H (ANANNA) and ACA box motifs.
Source: Rfam by way of RNAcentral